GCGGCGGACGGGUGAGUAACACGUGGGCAACCUGCCCUACAGAUGGGGAUAACUCCGGGAAACCGGGGCUAAUACCGAAUAAUCAGUUUGUCCGCAUGGGCAAACUCUGAAAGACGGUUUCGGCUGUCACUGUAGGAUGGGCCCGCGGCGCAUUAGCUAGUUGGUGGGGUAAUGGCCUACCAAGGCAACGAUGCGUAGCCGGCCUGAGAGGGUGACCGGCCACACUGGGACUGAGACACGGCCCAGACUCCUACGGGAGGCAGCAGUGGGGAAUAUUGCGCAAUGGGCGGAAGCCUGACGCAGCGACGCCGCGUGGGGGAUGACGGCCUUCGGGUUGUAAACCUCUUUCGACCGGGACGAAGGGUGACUGACGGUACCGGUAGAAGAAGCACCGGCCAACUACGUGCCAGCAGCCGCGGUAAUACGUAGGGUGCGAGCGUUGUCCGGAAUUAUUGGGCGUAAAGAGCUCGUAGGCGGUGUG
RNAcentral lists this ribosomal RNA (481 nucleotides) under uncultured Filibacter sp. Its description in RNAcentral is "bacterial SSU rRNA". It matches the Rfam family "Bacterial small subunit ribosomal RNA", at positions 95 to 582 of the family's 1533-position model. The record is from RNAcentral. Lineage: Bacteria; Bacillati; Bacillota; Bacilli; Caryophanales; Caryophanaceae.